This 494-nucleotide ribosomal RNA is filed under the name uncultured bacterium. RNAcentral describes it as "partial 16S ribosomal RNA". It matches the Rfam family "Bacterial small subunit ribosomal RNA", at positions 28 to 507 of the family's 1533-position model. The record is from RNAcentral.
GACGAACGCUGGCGGCGUGCUUAACACAUGCAAGUCGAGCGGAAAGGCCUGCUUUCCCUUGUGGAUUGCGGGUACUCGAGUGGCGAACGGGUGAGUAACACGUGAGUGAUCUGCCCCCAACUUGGGUAUAAGCCUGGGAAACUGGGUCUAAUUCCCGAUAGGACUGCAGGGUGGUGCCUGUGGUGGAAAACGAUUUUCUAGUGGUUGGGGAUGAGCUCGCGGCCUAUCAGCUUGUUGGUGGGGUAAUGGCCUACCAAGGCGGCGACGGGUAGCCGGCCUGAGAGGGUGGACGGCCACAUUGGGACUGAGAUACGGCCCAGACUCCUACGGGAGGCAGCAGUGGGGAAUAUUGCACAAUGGGCGGAAGCCUGAUGCAGCGACGCCGCGUGGGGGAUGACGGCCUUCGGGUUGUAAACUCCUUUCGACCGCGAGGAAGCCACCUGGUUGGAAGGGUGGUGACGGUAGUGGUAGAAGAGGCACCGGCUAACUACGUG